UCAUGGGAAAGGGCACUUAGGAUCUUGCUCUCAGCCACCCAACACUUUUGCUGGGUCAAAAUAAGACUUAUGUUGCAGAACAGAACAAGAUAUACUUUCAUUUCAUUUUUGCAUCUGUUAAUCUUCCUGCCUGCAGUCUUAGUCAUUUAGCCCUGAGAGUUUUAAGCCACAUUUAUUGCCAUUAUUUUUGCAUUCAUUUUUCAAAAUGAUUGACUUAAGCUUCCUGACCAAGGAGGAACAAGAGGCCAUCAUGAAGUUUCUGGAGCGGGAUGCAGCCCUGAAGAGGGCUGAAGAGGAGAGAGUCAGAUAUUUGCCUAAAAAAAUUAAGGAUGACCAGCAACUGAAGAACAUGAGUGGCCAAUGGUUUUAUGAAGCCAAGACAAAAAGGCACAGAGACAAAAUUCAUGGUGCAGAUAUCAUCAGAGCAUCUAUGAGGAAGAAGAGGCUUCAGGUAGCAGCUGAGCAGAGUAAGGAAAGAGCAGAUGGGGCAAAGGAAAGCUGGGUGAAUAAUGUCAGCAAAGAUGCUUUCCUUCCCCCAGAGCUAGCUGGUGUUGUAGAAGAGCCAGAAGAAGAUGCAGCACCAGCAAUACCAAGUUCCAGUAUGGUAAGUCCAGCUUCUACUGCGAUUGAUAUGUCCCAAGAAAACACAAGGAAACCAACUGUGUCUCCAGCUAAGCAAAGGAGGAAUCUGUUUAAUAACUCCAAGUUGGCAGAAGAUCACUCAUCACAACAAACCAAAAAUGAACAGUCAAAAAAUGGAAGAGCUGGUUUAUUUCAGACUUCAAAAGAGGGUCAAUUGUCAGAAUCAAAAGAAAAGUCACCAUUCCAAGAUAUUUCAAGUCAAAAGUUAGAGAAAUCAAAGCAGACUUUUCCAGCCCCUUUGAAUGAAUCCCAAAUCAAGGCUCCAAUCCCCAAACACAGGAACAUUAUCUACAAAUCAGAUUGUUUAAACCAAGAUGAUAACCAGUGUUUUCCUAGAGAAAGGACAGACUCCUUGAAUACAAGAGGGGCUUUGAGAGGGAUCCUUAAGCGUAACUCAAGUUCCAACAGCACAGACUCAGAAAUUCUUCGUUUUAAUCACAGCUUUGAAUCCAAAAGCAAAACUGUGUCACCAGGCCUAACCAUACAUGAGAGAAUUUCCGAGACGGAACAUUCUUUAGAAGAUGAUUGUUCCCCAAACUCCCUGGAACCAUUAAAGCAUGUGAGAUUCUCUACCGUGAUGGAUGAACUUCCACAAAGUCCUGGGCUAAUCCAAGGCCAGGAAGUGGAGGAAUUUAGUGUUUUAGAAUCUGACAGGUUGAAGAAUGGAACAGAAGAUGCAGGGGACACAGAUGAGUUUCAGAGUGACCCUAAGCCUUCCCAAUACAGAAUGCCUUGGCCUUUUCAUUAGUUAGCCGCAAGCCCAAAUGGAUCAAAAAAUGAAACACAUCAGCCAAUGACUUCUGGUUCUUUUCCAGUUAAUGGGCUCCAUUCUCACUCAGAAAUUUUAACUGCAAGACCACAGUCCAUUGAGAAUUCCCUUACCACCAAUGACCAGAAAGUUUAACCAGAAAGAAUUAAAAAGGCUUGAAUCAGAAUUGCCCAAAACCUCCGCUGAUGAACUGUCUCAUGUUAAGCCUGAGCCAGCUCAGGUGCCAGACUGCAGUUCUAGAGACCAUCAGCAAGGUUCAGAAGAAGAACCCAAUCCUGUUUUGAAAACUUUGGAAAGGAGUGCUGUUAGGAAAAUACCUUCCAAAAGUCUAGAAAACAUAUCAUAAUUAUUACGUAGUGCUGAAGAUGAUCAAAAAGCAGAUCAGGAAUCAGAUACAAAUGAAUGCAUACCAAGAAUUUCCACAGUGUCUGCACCACCUGAUAAUCAGUUUUCUCACCUUGGCAAACUCAAAAGGAUGAACAAGUCUGUUCCAGCAUUUCUACAAGAUGAGAGUGAUGACAGAGAAACAGAUACAGCAUCAGAAAGCAGUUACCAGCUCAGCAGACACAAGAAGAGCCCGAGCUCUUUAACCAAUCUUAGCAGCUCCUCUGGCAUGACGUCCUUAUCUUCUGUGAGUGGCAGUGUGAUGAGUGUUUAGAGUGGAGACUUCGGCAAUCUGGAAGUUAAAGGAAAGAUUCUGUUUGCAGUAGAAUAUGUGGAGUCAUUAAAGGAGUUGCAUAUUUUUGUGACCCAGUAUAAGGACUUAGCAGCCGCAGAUGUUAAAAAACAGUACUCAGACUCAUAUGUCAAGACCUAUUUGUUACCAGACAAAGGCAAAAGGCACAAGAAGGAAACAUCUGUAGUGAAGACAACCUUGAAUCCUGUGUACAACGAGAUACGGCGGUAUAAAAUUGAAAAGCAAAACUUAAAGACACAGAAACUGAAUGUAUCUGUUUGGCAUCGAGAUCCAUUUCAGCGCAAUAGUUUCCUAGGGGAGGUGGAACUUGACUUGGAAACAUGGUACUGGGACAACAAACAGAAUAAACAAUUGAGGUGGUACCCUUUGAAGCAGAAGGCAGUACCAGUUGCCCUUGAAGCAGAAAACAGAGGUGAAAUGAAGCUAGCUCUCCAGUACAUUCCAGAGCCAAUCCCUGGUAAAAAGCUUCCUACAAUCGGAGAAGCGCACAUCUGGGUGAAGGAAUGCCUUGAUCUACCACUGCUGAGGGGAAACCAUCUAAAUUCUUUUGUUAAAUGUACCAUUCUUCCAGAUACAAGUAGGAAAAGCCGCCAGAAGACGAGAGCUGUAGAGAAGACCACCAACCCUAUCUUCAAUCACACAAUGGUGUGCGAUGGGUUUAGGCCUGAACAUCUGUCAGAAGCCUGUAUAGAGCUUACUGUCUGGGACCAUUACAAACUAACCAACAAGUUUUUGGGAGGUCUUCGGAUUGGCUUUGGAACAGGUAAAAGCUAUGGGACUGAAGCGGAUUGGAUGGACCCUACCUCGGAGGAAGUUGCUCUCUGGGAAAAGAUGGUAAAUUCCCCCGAUAGCUGGAUUGAAGCGAUACUGCCUCCAAAUGCUUGUGAUUGCCAAGAUUGCCAAAUGA
This is an RNA transcript of Carlito syrichta (Philippine tarsier), 3015 nucleotides long. It is a transcript of the gene named synaptotagmin-like protein 2 pseudogene, with no coding region annotated. The transcript has a single exon. The record is from RefSeq and is a predicted model, not a curated record. Lineage: Eukaryota; Metazoa; Chordata; Mammalia; Primates; Tarsiidae.